RNAcentral lists this small nucleolar RNA (148 nucleotides) under Spermophilus dauricus (Daurian ground squirrel). The record is from RNAcentral. Lineage: Eukaryota; Metazoa; Chordata; Mammalia; Rodentia; Sciuridae.
AUGUCCAUCCUAAUCUGUAUUUACUUUUUGCUUGGCACUACCUGUGGCCUGCCAGGUUUCGCUUGUGGACUAGAACACUGUAGAAGCCUGACCUGAGUGGGUGAGCAAGGCCUUCAUGGGCUCAUGCCAGGGAUGCUUCUGGACACUG